AUACGGAGGAUGCAAGCGUUAUCCGGAUUUAUUGGGUUUAAAGGGUGCGUAGGCGGUUUGCUAAGCGGGAGGUGAAAUGCCGGCGCUUAACGUCGGAAGUGCCUCCCGAACUGGUGGACUUGAAUGAAUCUGCCGUGGGAGGAAUGUGUAGUGUAGCGGGGAAAUGCUUAGAGAUUACACAGAACACCGAUUGCGAAGGCAUCUCGCGAAGGGUUGAUUGACGCUGAGGCACGAAAGCGUGGGGAUCAAACAGGAUUAGAUACCCUGGUAGUCCACGCAGUAAACGAUGAUGGCUAACCGCUGGGCUUAUCAGUUCAGUGGCCAAGCGAAAGCGAUAAGCCAUCCACCUGGGGAGUACGACCGCAAGGUUGAAACUCAAAUGAAUUGACGGGG
This 393-nucleotide ribosomal RNA is filed under the name uncultured bacterium. RNAcentral describes it as "partial 16S ribosomal RNA". It matches the Rfam family "Bacterial small subunit ribosomal RNA", at positions 523 to 918 of the family's 1533-position model. The record is from RNAcentral.